Molecule: ribosomal RNA, 253 nt
Filed under: uncultured bacterium
Lineage: Bacteria
Description: partial 16S ribosomal RNA
Rfam family: Bacterial small subunit ribosomal RNA
Source: RNAcentral
GACGUAGGGGCCGAGCGUUGUCCGGAGUUACUGGGCGUAAAGGGCGCGCAGGCGGUCCGCUGCAUCGGUGGUGAAAGCCCCGGGCUUAACCCGGGAGGGUCCAUCGAGAUGAGCGGACUGGAGGCAGGGCGAGGGCGGUGGAAUUCCGGGUGUAGUGGUGAAAUGCGUAGAGCUCCGGAGGAACACCAGUGGCGAAGGCGGCCGCCUGGACCUGUCCUGACGCUGAGGCGCGAAGGCGUGGGGAGCGAACGGG